Molecule: ribosomal RNA, 423 nt
Filed under: uncultured bacterium
Lineage: Bacteria
Description: bacterial SSU rRNA
Rfam family: Bacterial small subunit ribosomal RNA
Source: RNAcentral
GGAAUUUUGGACAAUGGGCGCAAGCCUGAUCCAGCAAUGCCGCGUGAGUGAAGAAGGCCUUCGGGUUGUAAAGCUCUUUUGUCAGGGAAGAAACGGUGCGGGCUAAUAUCCCGCGCUAAUGACGGUACCUGAAGAAUAAGCACCGGCCAACUACGUGCCAGCAGCCGCGGUAAUACGUAGGUGGCAAGCGUUGUCCGGAUUUAUUGGGUUUAAAGGGUGCGUAGGCGGCCUAUUAAGUCAGUUCUGAAAUAUCCCGGCUUAACCGGGAGGGUGGGAUUGAUACUGAUGGGCUUGAGUGGAGUCGAGGUAGGCGGAAUUGACGGUGUAGCGGUGAAAUGCUUAGAUAUCGUCAAGAACACCGAUAGUGUAGACAGCUUACUAGACUUCAACUGACGCUGAGGCACGAAAGUGUGGGGAUCAAAC